Molecule: ribosomal RNA, 300 nt
Filed under: uncultured Haloferula sp.
Lineage: Bacteria; Pseudomonadati; Verrucomicrobiota; Verrucomicrobiia; Verrucomicrobiales; Verrucomicrobiaceae
Description: bacterial SSU rRNA
Rfam family: Bacterial small subunit ribosomal RNA
Source: RNAcentral
CGUGAGGCCGUGCCAGAAGCUGAGGAAUGAGGGGGGAUGCAGGCGUUGAUGGGAUGUACUGGGCGUAAGGCGCACUUGGGCGGUUGGUUAGUUCGGAUGGUAAAUGCCCGUGGUCAACGUGGGAACUGCAUUCGAUACUGGCAGGUGAGAGUCUUGUAGAGGGGAGUAGAAUUCCAGGUGUAGCGGUGAACUGCGUAGAGGUCUGGAGGAAUACCGGUGACGAAGGCGGCCCCCUGGACAAAGACUGACGCUCAGGUGCGAAAGCGUGGGGAGCAAACAGGAUUAGAUACCCUAGUAGUC